RNA transcript from Saccostrea cuccullata (small rock oyster), 2842 nucleotides. RefSeq lists it as uncharacterized. The record is from RefSeq and is a predicted model, not a curated record. NCBI's taxonomy places the organism in Eukaryota, Metazoa, Mollusca, Bivalvia, Ostreida, Ostreidae. The transcript has 13 exons.
AAAAUCGCAUGUAGUUGUACAUUUAGUCUGAUUUUCAAAUUAUCCGGAAAUAAUCGUGUUUGGUUUUUUACAUUAGUGUCAUAAUUCUGCAUCCAGUGUUGAUCUGCGAUAUUGUAAAUAAUUGCAAAUCUUUGUUUUCCAUAAAAUUUUAGGUUAAGAAUUAGUAUUUUCAGGUACACAUGGUUUCCCAUGCUCAAUUUAUCCAAGGAUAGAGAGGCUGCAUCACAAAUCAGCAAUGAAGUCACUUCUGGAUAUAACAUCAGCUUUUGUAGGAGAAAACUCUAAUUUCUUUACACCAGAGAUGUUACAAGAACUGCCAAGAAAUGUAUUAGUGAAUAUACUGCCUUAUUUGAAUGCUGCAUUUCUGCACAAAAUCUGCAUCAAAAUCUCAGACCUUCAGUGUUCAGAGCUGUGGAAAAAACAUGUCCAGAAGAGAUGGAAUUUUUGGAAUCGGAUUGGUAGCACCUUCUCGACUGUCUUUAGUGACAGUGAAAGGACAGAAGAUUUCCAUAAAGUCUAUCUGAUCAAACAUUUCCUGGAUCUGCUGAACUACUGCUGUCUCAAUGUCCAUGUUCCAGAUCCUAUUGGAUUACUGAAUUGUCCUCUACACAAAAUGAAACCAUGGAAUAUUGUAACCAAUACAUCACUUCAGUCAGCAAAAUACAUCAAUGAACUCAUACAUUACGCUCAGUACGCAGAAUCAGUGAGCCUGGUGGGCUCUCAGUGCAGUUGGAUUUGUUGUCAGAGGGAAUUGCUUGAUCGUCUGCUAGAAGCUACAAAGACCGUCAAUCUUCAUGUUGUUAAUGACACGUACUAUGAUGGAGUGAGAACCCUGUUAUGGAAUCUUAUCAACAAAGGAAAAUUAGAAGAAGCUAACUUCUCUUCCAUUACUCCAACAUUAUCUCAGACAAAUCUACAUGACUUACUAAAGAUUUGUGCAGGCGUUACUGUGAAUAGACUUGUGAAAAAUGAUACGCCUCCACCAAAAAGGCCCAGAAAGCGUCCAAGAGAGUCUUUAGAAGACGCCUCCAGUAGUUUCACCACAUCGGUUAUUUUAGAUUCAGGAUAUGAUUUACCUGUGAGUAAAAAAGUGUGUGUGAGGUUAGAUGACCCAGACAACUCCUUGGAUAACUCUGUCGUGAGCAUCACCACAACUAAGGAGGUACCUAGAAUAGUUGACGUCAUUGACUUUACUGGAGGACAACAGGAGGAAUCUCAGCCCUCAACCUCAGCAGGGAACUCAGCAAAUACAACCGCAGCAGCAUCGGAAGACUUUUCUUAUGAAGAGGAAGACUUUGUCGACCACGAGACAGAUCCACGUCUAGAAAUGGAGGACAUAUCUGCAUUCAGUGUGUGUGGCAGCUAUAUGGCAGAUAGAUCUGUUAGCAAUGAUAGUGACCUCUAUGAUGUUGCUGUUCAACCUAUCAUGAGAAUGAAUCCCAGGCAGCGGUUUCCACAACCUCCUGUACCUUUAGUGGACGUCUUUGUCAGUCAAGUAGACUCAGAACAUCCUGUGAAAGGAGUCUCUUCUUUUUCAGUAACCUGUGCUAAUCUGACAGGGCUUCUUAGAGUUCUGCCUAAUUGGAAUGAUCUAAGAAAAAUUAGUCUGUCACAUGCUACUAUUGAUGGUGAGUUUAUUAUGAAUGCUCUGCUUGACAAAAUCCGUAAUCAUCAAAUUUCACAUCUGAUGUUAGAUGACUGUUAUUUGUCAGACCAGUUCUACUCAAGACUCCUCAGUGUUCUACAAAACCAUUUCAAAAUAAGUGGACAAGCAUUGGAACUUGUUGAUGUUCAGGCGUCAUCUUCUCCCCUGUCUGUGCUCUCUACAGAAAAAUACAAAGAAACCCAAUACGGAGUGAAGAAGUUGAACCUUAGUAUGAAUACUUUCCAUUCUUCUGGAUUGGAAGCCCUAACAACACUGAUCAAGUAUGAUAGGGCACUAACUCAUCUGAAACUGAAUGGCUGCUUUCUCCAAGAAAGUCAAGUUUGUCAGCUUCUGCAGGCUUUGUCAGAGAAUCCACAGCUCCAGAUGCUUGGACUCAGUGGAAAUUUAGUGGCAGAUUCUGAUGUGGAGUCAGAGCUACUUAAUUUCUUGUCCAAAGUCAAAACCCUCACCACCCUCACCAUGAACUACAGCAGACUAAGACCACUGUUUGUUAGUGACCAAGCUUUUGUGUCAGCCGUGAAGAAUCAUCCAAAGUUGAAGGAACUGUCAAUGAAAAAUAAUCAUUUAGGUGCUAGUGCAUGCCACUUUUUACAGCUAUUGUGCAGUGAAGGACAACUUUCCUUGCAACAUUUAAAUGUCGGGUAUAACUGGAUGAAGAUUGAUGACAUCAUAAAAAGUGCAAAGGAAAUACAGGCAUGUAGAGAAAAAAAUGAAGAAUUUUACAGACCCAUACUACAGAGUUUAAUACUGAGUGGGAACAGGCUAAAACCGAGGGAAUUUGAAAUCGUGAGAAACCUGUUCAAACCGUUAGUUGUAGAACUUGAAAUUAACAGCAUUGAUUACUCAGUUCCACAUGCUGAACACGUGGCUCAGAUGUGAAAAGGUAAACAGGUGCAGAAAUUACGUUUUGCGGAAAGCCAGAUUCCUGGAAAGGAAAACAGUUGGCAUCGUUUCCACUCCAUUUGGGAUUUUGCAGGCCAGUACGAUUUCAUUAAAUACACACUGUCACGCAAACUCCCCAACGAGUGAAUGAAAUAUAUCCAUUAAAAUCAAAGUUCCUGGCCUUUUUAUUCCCCUAAAAGACAAACUUUAUUUAUACAAGAAUUUUGUGAAAUCCGGUAUCUAAGGCCAAUAUCCCGGUCGAUCCUGCAUUAUUUCACAAUAUUCAUCACUAGA